UGAGUGGCGGACGGGUGAGUAACGCGUGGGCAACCUGGCCUGUACAGGGGAUAACACUUAGAAAUAGGUGCUAAUACCGCAUAACGGGGGAAGCCGCAUGGCUUUUCCCUGAAAACUCCGGUGGUACAGGAUGGGCCCGCGUCUGAUUAGCCAGUUGGCAGGGUAACGGCCUACCAAAGCGACGAUCAGUAGCCGGCCUGAGAGGGCGGACGGCCCAAAAAAAAAAAAAAAAAAAAAAAAAAAAAAACUGGGACUGAGACACGGCCCAGACUCCUACGGGAGGCAGCAG
RNAcentral lists this ribosomal RNA (289 nucleotides) under uncultured bacterium. Its description in RNAcentral is "partial 16S ribosomal RNA". It matches the Rfam family "Bacterial small subunit ribosomal RNA", at positions 92 to 354 of the family's 1533-position model. The record is from RNAcentral.